This is a small nucleolar RNA of Ordospora colligata OC4, 66 nucleotides long. Lineage: Eukaryota; Fungi; Microsporidia; Ordosporidae. The record is from RefSeq and is a predicted model, not a curated record.
CGAAGGAUGAUGAUGUUUGCCGCCCCAGACUGAGUGUUUGAUGAAACAGCAAAUUCUGACUUCGCA